This 276-nucleotide unclassified non-coding RNA is filed under the name uncultured fungus. Its description in RNAcentral is "partial contains 5.8S ribosomal RNA, internal transcribed spacer 2, and large subunit ribosomal RNA". The stretch from base 1 to 52 matches the Rfam family "5.8S ribosomal RNA", at positions 103 to 154 of the family's 154-position model. The record is from RNAcentral. Lineage: Eukaryota; Fungi.
AACGCACAUUGCGCCCGCCAGUAUUCUGGCGGGCAUGCCUGUUCGAGCGUCAUUUCAACCCUCAGGCCCCCAGUGCCUGGCGUUGGGGAUCGGCUCAGGGGCGACCGCGCAAGCGGCCGCUUCCCGCCGGCCCCGAAAUCUAGUGGCGGUCUCGCUGUAGUCCUCCUCUGCGUAGUAGCACAACCUCGCAGCUGGAACGCGGCGGUGGCCCUGCCGUAAAACACCCCACUUCUGAAAGUUGACCUCGGAUCAGGUAGGAAUACCCGCUGAACUUAA